GAUGAACGCUGGCGGCGUGCCUAAUACAUGCAAGUCGAGCGAACAGACGAGGAGCUUGCUCCUCUGACGUUAGCGGCGGACGGGUGAGUAACACGUGGAUAACCCACCUAUAAGACUGGGAUAACUUCGGGAAACCAGCGCUAAUACCGGAUAAUAUAUUGAACCGCAUGGUUCAAUAGUGAAAGACGGUUUUGCUGUCACUUCUAGAUGGAUCCGCGCCGCAUUAGCUAGUUGGUAAGGUCACGGCUUUCCAAGGCAACGAGGCCUAGCCGACCUGACAGAGUGAUCGGCCACACUGGAGCGGGAACACGGUCCAGAGUACUACGGGAGGCCGCAGAAGGGAAUCUUACGCAAUGGGCGAAAGCCUGACGGAGCAACGCCGCGUGAGUGAUGACGGUGUUCGGAUCGUAAAACUCUGUUAUUAGGGAAGAACAAAUGUGUAAGUAGCUGUGCACGUCGUGACGGUACCUAAUCAGAAAGCCACGGCUAACUACGUG
This 497-nucleotide ribosomal RNA is filed under the name uncultured bacterium. Its description in RNAcentral is "partial 16S ribosomal RNA". It matches the Rfam family "Bacterial small subunit ribosomal RNA", at positions 28 to 507 of the family's 1533-position model. The record is from RNAcentral.